Molecule: long non-coding RNA, 651 nt
Organism: Salvelinus namaycush (lake trout)
Lineage: Eukaryota; Metazoa; Chordata; Actinopteri; Salmoniformes; Salmonidae
Exons: 2
Source: RefSeq, a predicted model, not a curated record
GGUAGACGGGAGGUCCACAAUAGUAGGUGUUGGUAGACGGGAGGUCCACAAUAGUAGGUUUUGGUAGACGGAAGGUGCUCUUUGGUAAAAGGAGUAAAUUGAUCAUCAGAAAUAAAGGAGGACUAGGGCACUAUUCAUAUAAUGAAUUAAAAUGCCUUUAUUUGUAUGACAUGUUCAAUGGAAACUAAGUUGUUUUUUUUUACUGAUGCGUUUCGGCUGCAUGGCCUUCGUCAGGGAGUACUCAAAAGCAUUCCGAUAAAUUAUAUGAAAAGUGCCUUGGUCCUCCUUUUUGAUGUCUAUUGAGGACUUAUUCUUUAUAGAAGUCCAUACCUUGUAAACUAGCUCUAGCCAUCAGAUCCCCGUGUGUACAGCAGGAUACAGAGAUGGAACUCUCAACCUCAACGGACACAAAAGAAGGAGCCAGGAGGACAAGGUCAUUGAUUCAGCUCCCCGACGGAGGAAGAUGUCAGACGUAUUGGACAAUUACAGUGAUUCUGAUGAAGAGGAGACUAAGAUUGGUCGAUGGAGAGACAUUCAGUUCCAGGAUCUAGAGACGGCAUCAGUGAAACUGGAAGACAAAAGUCAAACAUUAAAAAGACGAGGCAAAGAUUGGAAGAUUUUAUCAUUGUACAGAAGUUUGUUUUGCUUGUG